AUGGAGCGAGCGAACACGGAGCUGUACCUGGAGAACCUGUGCAUCAUGCAGGAGAACGAGCGGCUCCGGAGGAAAGCACAGCUGCUGGCCCAGGAGAACGAGCAGCUCCUCGCCGAUCUCAAGCGCAAGCAGCAGCACAUGGCGGCCUCCUCCAAGACGGCGCCCCAGAUGGCGAAGGGCGGCGAGCCGUCCGGCCUCAAGUCCGGCAAGCAGCAGCCCCAGUGA
RNAcentral lists this ribosomal RNA (225 nucleotides) under Triticum aestivum (bread wheat). RNAcentral describes it as "partial small subunit ribosomal RNA". The record is from RNAcentral. Lineage: Eukaryota; Viridiplantae; Streptophyta; Magnoliopsida; Poales; Poaceae.